Molecule: ribosomal RNA, 482 nt
Filed under: uncultured bacterium
Lineage: Bacteria
Description: partial 16S ribosomal RNA
Rfam family: Bacterial small subunit ribosomal RNA
Source: RNAcentral
AUUGAACGCUGGCGGCAUGCCUUACACAUGCAAGUCGAACGGUAACAGGUCUUCGGAUGCUGACGAGUGGCGAACGGGUGAGUAAUACAUCGGAACGUGCCCGAUCGUGGGGGAUAACGAAGCGAAAGCUUUGCUAAUACCGCAUAAGAUCUACGGAUGAAAGCAGGGGACCGCAAGGCCUUGCGCGAACGGAGCGGCCGAUGGCAGAUUAGGUAGUUGGUGGGAUAAAAGCUUACCAAGCCGACGAUCUGUAGCUGGUCUGAGAGGACGACCAGCCACACUGGGACUGAGACACGGCCCAGACUCCUACGGGAGGCAGCAGUGGGGAAUUUUGGACAAUGGGCGAAAGCCUGAUCCAGCCAGGCCGCGUGCAGGAUGAAGGCCUUCGGGUUGUAAACUGCUUUUGUACGGAACGAAAAGACUCUGGUUAAUACCUGGGGUCCAUGACGGUACCGGAAGAAUAAGCACCGGCUAACUACGUG